RNAcentral lists this ribosomal RNA (255 nucleotides) under uncultured bacterium. Its description in RNAcentral is "partial 16S ribosomal RNA". It matches the Rfam family "Bacterial small subunit ribosomal RNA", at positions 524 to 776 of the family's 1533-position model. The record is from RNAcentral.
UACGAAGGGGGGCUAGCGUUGCUCGGAAUCACUGGGCGUAAAGCGCACGUAGGCGGGCUCUUAAGUCGGUGGUGAAAUCCUGGAGCUCAACUCCAGAACUGCCUCCGAUACUGAGAGUCUUCGAGUUCGGGAGAGGUGAGUGGAACUGCGAGUGUAGAGGUGAAAUUCGUAGAUAUUCGCAAGAACACCAGUGGCGAAGGCGGCUCACUGGCCCGAUACUGACGCUGAGGUGCGAAAGCGUGGGGAGCAAACAGG